AAUUUGAUAGAUCCACUGUACUGCGCUAACACGCGAGGUGGCGCUCGACAUAAUAAAAAUUGUGGACAAUGUCGGAAUCGUCAGUUCACAGUGUGCAGUUUGUAUCGGUUCUACGUGAAAAAAGCGCCAAAUUAUUUAAGGUUUUGGAGGAGCUCAAACAGCAUGGAAGAUGUUGAAAAUAUUCCAGGAGACCUAGGGAAUGAGUCGGUGGAUGCUUCGCAAGUGCAUAUCGUUAGCCAGAAGGAUAUCCAUGAUUUUUGGGAGCAUGUGUCAACUGGAGACCGCAUCAGUGAUGUCUGUACCACCUUUGAAUCUGAGAGUAAGCAGGUGAUUGAGAAGCUCUAUCAACAGUCUGCUUCCGUGGGAGAGCAAUUUGCAGUGGCCAAUUUCUUGUUGCAGAUUGGGGCACUCCAGUUCCGUGUUCAGAAGAAUCCAGAAGAUGAGAAUGAAUUGCAGACCAUCAUCAUUCUUCAAAAACCAGACACCAAUGAGGGCAAGGCAGAGGAAAAGGUUGAUACACAGGACACGGCAGAAGAUCCCAAUCAUAACAAAGACAAGGAAUGUCCUGAUAUAGGAGAGAAAGAGAAAGACAACCUGGCCUUGUGGGAUGGAGAUCCUCCACCUGUGGAAAAUGAAGAGGAACCCUUGGUACCACCACCACCACCACCACCAGAGGAGCAUGAGUGCAGCAUUUGCCAUGCUGUUCUGACCAGCUUAUGGGAACUUGACCUACAUGAACUGAACCGAUGCAGCAGUGAAACUCCUCCUCCUGGAAGACCUGCAAAGAAACAGAAGGAGCCUGAAAUAACCAGUGUGUCUUCUGAUGAGCAAGAUCCUGAUUUGAAAUCUCCGGCGAAAUCUCCUGUGCCAGAAAAAAAGAAACGCGGAAGACCUCGAAAGAAUGUCGUUUCCCCCACUGCUGAAGUUAUACCUCCACAGGAUGUACAAGGAAGUGCCAAGAGAAAGAGGGGCCGUCCUAGAAAAAGCGACACUUUUGUCACAGAGGAAGAAAGCGUGGUGAAAAAGAGGAGAGGACGGCCAUCCAAGAAGGACUCCAUAGAUCAAAAACAGGAAUCCAGUAAAAAAGAUGUAUUAGCAAACAAACAUCAUGAGGAGAGUCUGUCGAAACUAGAAAAACCACACACCAUCCAACUGCCAAAGCCUAAGUUGCAUACCCUUCACCUACGCCUGAAUAAGCUGCAAGAAACCAGAAGCAAGCGAAAAAGGAGACUGCCUCAGAAGCUUAGGGAGGUACUUGGGGAAGAGGAAAUGCCAGAGAAGGAAGUUAGAUCAGUUGUAGAACCUGAUGAUGCUGAUCUAGAAGUGGCUGAUCCAGAAGAGACUGGCACCGAAGAUGUUAGUCCAGAAGAAUAUGCUCCUGAGAAGGAUGAGGAAUCAGGGGAGGACCCAGUCGAGGAAGAUGAAAAGAAGGUAGAUGACAUCAAAGAUGGCCAAAAGAAGGAUGGUCAAGGAGAGGAAGACCAAGCAAAGAAUGAUGCCCCAGCAAGGGAUGAUGACCCAGUAAAAGGUGAUGUUUUGAACGAUGAUCAAGAAAUCAAGGAAGGGCUAGGUGAAGAGGAAGCUGGUCAUCCUUCAGAAGAGAAUGAAAUGGAAUCUGAAGUCCAAAAUGUUCCUUCUGGUAAUUUGAAGGAACAUAUGAAUGACGAUGACGUACAGGAAAUGCAUGGAGACGACGAUGAUUCAGAUAAAAGUGUAGAGAAGAUAUUUUCAUGCAGGACGUGUGGCAAAAGCUUCAGGCAAGUUGCUUCCUUUAGAGCGCAUCUUAUCAUGCAUCGCAACAAAGCCGCAAACUCCAAGUUUGAGAGCGAUGUAUUGCCCAAGGCAGACAGAAAAUCACAUCAGAAAAGAACUUUUCCCUGUGAAUUCUGUGACAAGGUAUUUUCAGAGAUGUACCAUUACAAGAGGCAUAAAAACAAUGUUCACACCAAAGAGGUGUCCUACCCAUGUACACUUUGUGACAGGGUUUUCUUUACGAAAAAUCGACUCAAAGACCACAUGGUGACACAUUCUGGUAAGAAGGACAUCGCUUGUGAUAUGUGUGAUUUGAAGUUCUUCCUACCUGGCCAACUGAAGAUACACAAGAAAACAGUCCAUGUAGAAGGGAAGCCAUACCUCUGUGACCUAUGUGGGUCUAGCUUCAAAGCCAAGGGAAUCUUAAAACAGCAUCAUCUAACCGUUCAUACAGACAUCAAGAAAUUCCCUUGCAGACAGUGCGGUAAGCCAUUUUCCCGCUCAUCCCUGCGCAACCAGCACGAGAAGGUCCAUUCAGGGCUGAAUCCCUAUCCAUGUGAGUACUGUGGUAAAGGUUUCCGAGACAAGUUUAAACUCAGAGUGCAUGUCAACUGGCAUUUGGGUAUCCACCCAUUUGCUUGUGACGUCUGUGGAAAGACCUUCCUUGUAAAAGGCAACCUCACCAAACACAUGCGCGUCCACACUGGAGAGCGUCCGUACGUCUGUCAGAAGUGUGGCCGAGGUUGUGUUGACUCCUCCCAGCUCAAGAAGCACAUGUCACAGGCUCACCAGAUCCAAGUUGACAGGAUACUCACUAAAGGUCCUGGACGCCCUGAUGGAGAUCUUCCAUCUACCCGACGGAAGAAAAAGCAGGACGACCCACUGGUCCCGCUCCCAGGGGGUUUAAGUGCAGAUGCAGAGGAGACCCAAGCAUAUACCAUUGCAACAGACGCAUUGAUUGAAAUUUCUCAACAGCUCGCCGAUAUGAGUAACGCUGUACAAGUUCCUAUGGGAAGUGGAGAUUUGGUGAUUGAUGCUAAGGCUAAUGAUGGACAAAUUCCAAUACACCAGCAAGGAGAGAACAGUGUUGUGCCUUCCCAUGUUACCAAUGUUGUGUCAACUACUGAAGCCUCAUCCGAUGCAGCUAUCAUUCCUGUAAUGAUUCAAGUUACAGAUCAGUCAAAUCAAGUCACAGUUCCUGUUACACAGAGCAUAGGUGACUUUCAAUCACUAGAGCUUAUUACUCUAUAAAUGUUAAAUGAAAUGUCACACUGAGCAUGAGUUACUUUCAAUCACUAGAGCUUGUCACUCUAUAAAUGUUAAAUGAAAUGUCGCACUGAGCAUGAGUUACUUUCAGUCACUAGAGCUUAUCACUCUAUAAAUGUUAAAUGAAAUGUCACAUUGAGCAUGAGUUACUUUCAAUCACUGGAGCUUGUCACUGUAUAAAUGAAGGGCUCACUUGCAAAAGGGGUUAGGUCCAUUUUUCGUUAAAUUUGAUUUUUUGUCUCAAUGUAUAGAUUUUUAGUAGCUCUAUAAGAUGAUACCAAAGAAAAGUUGAAAUUCCCAUUAAAAUGUUAUCUAAAAUGGCAAAGAAAAAUCACUUUUUUUUUUCAAAAGAGGUUAGGUCCAUUUCAGAUUUGUUGCAAAAGGGGUUAGGUCCAUUGUUCAUAAAUUUUAUUGUUUUCUGUCUCAAAACCUCUAGAUUUUUGGUCGUUCUGAUGAAAACAAAGAAAAAUUCACAUGAAAAUGUGAAUAAAAGUGGCAAAGAAAAUUCCCUUUUUAAUCAAAAUAGAUUGGAUUCAUUUCAGUUUAUUUGCAAAAGGGGUUAGGUCCACAAUGAUAAUUUUU
This is an RNA transcript of Lytechinus pictus (painted urchin), 3600 nucleotides long. It is a transcript of the gene named zinc finger protein 37-like, with no coding region annotated. The transcript has 5 exons. Lineage: Eukaryota; Metazoa; Echinodermata; Echinoidea; Temnopleuroida; Toxopneustidae. The record is from RefSeq and is a predicted model, not a curated record.